UAGGCGUAAAUGAUGCGAGUUAAGUGUGGGGGCAUCUACGAGAUGGCCCUGUGCUGUAGGGUAGCCGUUAAACUCGCUGCCUGGGGAGUACGGUCGCAAGGCUGAAACUUAAAGGAAUUGGCGGGGGGAGGCACCACAACGGGUGGAGCUUGCGGUUUAAUUGGAUUCAACGCCGGAAAUCUUACCGGGACCGACAGCAACAUGAAGGCCAGGCUGAAGACUUUGCCGGAUUAGCUGAGAGGAGGUGCAUGGCGUAGUCGUGU
This 263-nucleotide ribosomal RNA is filed under the name uncultured archaeon. RNAcentral's name for it is "partial 16S ribosomal RNA". It matches the Rfam family "Archaeal small subunit ribosomal RNA", at positions 748 to 1009 of the family's 1478-position model. The record is from RNAcentral.